UUUUAAAACUAUGUAUGCCCCUUUAUUUUUGUAUCUCUCCUCCGUUGCCUGAAAUUGUGGGUAGUCUGGUGCACUAAACACAGUAAUUAGCUUUCCUGACUCCACAACAUGAUCUAUGGUGUACCCUUCAUCCAUUCCUGCAAGACCAGGCCUCUUUUCUCUUGCAUCAGGACCUUCAUGGGAUCUGAUUAUUAGCUUUAGAUGGAACUUUUUCAAAAAUUCUUCAGUACAAUCUGGUCCCCACAAUAGACCAAUGCCUCUUUC
This 264-nucleotide unclassified non-coding RNA is filed under the name Hevea brasiliensis (rubber tree). The record is from RNAcentral. Lineage: Eukaryota; Viridiplantae; Streptophyta; Magnoliopsida; Malpighiales; Euphorbiaceae.